This 480-nucleotide ribosomal RNA is filed under the name uncultured bacterium. RNAcentral describes it as "partial 16S ribosomal RNA". It matches the Rfam family "Bacterial small subunit ribosomal RNA", at positions 28 to 507 of the family's 1533-position model. The record is from RNAcentral.
GAUGAACGCUAGCGGCAGGCCUAACACAUGCAAGUCGAGGGGUAGAAGGAGCUUGCUCCUUUGAGACCGGCGCACGGGUGCGUAACGCGUAUGCAAUCUACCUUGUACAGGGGAAUAGCCCAGAGAAAUUUGGAUUAAUGCCCCAUAGUAUAUAACCUUCGCAUGUUGGUUAUAUUAAAGUUCCAACGGUACAAGAUGAGCAUGCGUCCCAUUAGUUAGUUGGUAAGGUAACGGCUUACCAAGACGAUGAUGGGUAGGGGUCCUGAGAGGGAGAUCCCCCACACUGGUACUGAGACACGGACCAGACUCCUACGGGAGGCAGCAGUGAGGAAUAUUGGUCAAUGGUCGCAAGACUGAACCAGCCAUGCCGCGUGCAGGAAGACGGUCCUAUGGAUUGUAAACUGCUUUUAUACAGGAAGAAACCCUCCCACGUGUGGGAGCUUGACGGUACUGCAGGAAUAAGGAUCGGCUAACUCCGUG